This 1345-nucleotide long non-coding RNA is filed under the name Sinocyclocheilus grahami. RNAcentral describes it as "lncRNA (ENSSGRG00000046720.1)". Lineage: Eukaryota; Metazoa; Chordata; Actinopteri; Cypriniformes; Cyprinidae. The record is from RNAcentral.
CUCGCGGUCACAUGACGUCACGUACGUCAGUCGACGUGAACUGCGUGAAGGCUAGUUAUGGCAUCUCCAGGGUAUUUUGGUGAUGGUCCUCCGAUGCGCGAGCGUGACCCCUACUUCACUGAGGUCAUCAGCCAGAGGAUGCGCGUGCCUGAGCGGCUGAGGGUCGGUCCAGCGCCACAUGAGCCUGCAGAGCAAAGACAUGAAGAGCUACCUGCUGCCUACAGCAUGCACAUCCCAGACAGACUGGCCUUAACAGAUGCUCCUGAUUUGAGUCCACGACCUCUCUUCACUAAACACACUUCAUCAAUGUGGGACCUGCAGCAUGGGUCCUGGGACAGGGAGGCGUUCAUGAGAGAGCCUGUCCAGAGUCCACUGCGAAGGUCUUACAGUGACCAGGCCUGUGGUCGAACCCCACCUGGAACCCCCACACACUCCAGACAAACACUCCACUCCCAGUCUCCCCGCAGUAUUGGACGCCCACCUGUCGUGCAUACAGACCCGUCCCCACCAAAGCCCCCAGGACUCCCCUCCAUCCCACCCAACCUGCUGUCCCCACAGAGCAUGCUGCAGGCCGCCAAGGAGCUGGGCCAGCAGGCAUCUCAGAAACUCCUCCAGACCGUCACCAAAAUAUACUCCUCCAGGUUUGGUUACCCAGAAAACCAUCCCUCUCAGGCUGUGGAGGUUCAACCUGAUCAAAGCAGGACAAGUGCCUCGCAGGAGUUCUGGCUCGGUCCUGAAGAGGACACAGGUGCUGCUGUCGAGUUCAUGGUGCUCCGCAGACAGGUGGUGAAGAUGAGCAGGAGGAUAGCAGGGCUGGAGAGACAGAACGCAGAGCACAGACAGACAGAGCUGGUGCUGUUCUCUAUGUUACUGUCUGCCUGUCUGAUCAACGGCUGGCUGUGGAUGCGCAGAUGACGGCUCACACUCCACAACACUGCACUAUACAGACAGCACUACAAGAGCAGCGGAGCUGUUUACUGGGAAGUACAGUACUGCACAUAUUUCUAUAGAGAUUUACGAAAUUUGUUCUAAAAAAUGAUGGUCAAUGGAUGGUUUAGAAACCACUUCUAUAGAAGACUCUGAACCUAGACUCGGAUGUGUCACAUGAUCACGGUAGUGACAUGGGCCACUUUGCGUUACAAGUGAUUUGAGGAACUCAAGCAUGUUUUUCUCCUCGUGAGAGUUUCACUGAUGAUGUCAUUCAGUAAUGCAGUCCCUCUGGCUCUUUUGAUCAGACUAGUAGCUAGUAUUUUGGAUUUGAUUUAUUCUGCAAAUUAAGUAAAUGCCGAGAUUUUCUGCAUGCUUUAUUAUGAAAGUAUAAAUAUGAAUGUUUACUGGUGCAUCU